GAUGAACGCUAGCUACAGGCUUAACACAUGCAAGUCGAGGGGUAGCAGGGUAGCAAUACCGCUGACGACCGGCGCACGGGUGAGUAACACGUAUCCAACCUUCCCAUAACUCGGGGAUAGCCUUUCGAAAGAAAGAUUAAUACCCGAUAGUACUUUUUCAAGGCAUCUUGAGAAAGUUAAAGAUUUAUUGGUUAUGGAUGGGGAUGCGUUCCAUUAGAUAGUUGGUGAGGUAACGGCUCACCAAGCCUUCGAUGGAUAGGGGUUCUGAGAGGAAGGUCCCCCACAUUGGUACUGAGACACGGACCAAACUCCUACGGGAGGCAGCAGUGAGGAAUAUUGGUCAAUGGGCGAGAGCCUGAACCAGCCAAGUAGCGUGAAGGAUGAAGGUCCUAUGGAUUGUAAACUUCUUUUAUACAGGAAUAAAGUUAGCCACGUGUGGUUAUUUGUAGGUACUGUAUGAAUAAGGACCGGCUAAUUCCGUGCCAGCCGCCGCGGUAA
RNAcentral lists this ribosomal RNA (498 nucleotides) under uncultured bacterium. RNAcentral's name for it is "partial 16S ribosomal RNA". It matches the Rfam family "Bacterial small subunit ribosomal RNA", at positions 28 to 523 of the family's 1533-position model. The record is from RNAcentral.